Molecule: ribosomal RNA, 910 nt
Filed under: uncultured bacterium
Lineage: Bacteria
Description: bacterial SSU rRNA
Rfam family: Bacterial small subunit ribosomal RNA
Source: RNAcentral
AGAGUUUGAUCCUGGCUCAGGAUGAACGCUGGCGGUGUGCCUGAGAUAUGCAAGUCGAGCGAAAACUAAGAGAGCUUGCUCUUUUAGUUUUAGCGGCGGACGGCUGAGUAACACGUAGGAAUUUUCCCCUAGGUAGAGGAUAGCUCACCGAAAGGUGGGGUAAUACUCUAUGGUACCCUGAUUUAUCAGGGUUAAAGGCUUCGGCCGCCAAGGGAUGAACCUGCGUCCUAUCAGGUAGUUGGUGAGGUAAUGGCUCACCAAGCCAAUGACGGGUAGCUGGCCUCAUGAGGGUGGUCAGCCAGAGGGGGACUGAGACACGGCCCCCACUCCUACGGGAGGCAGCAAUCAGGAAUAGUCGGCAAUGGGCGAAAGCCUGACCGCGCGACACCGCGUGUAGGAAUAAGUACGAAAGUAUGUAAACUACUGUGGUAGGGGAAGAAGAUCCGCAAGGAUUUGACGGUACCCUACUAGAAAGGAGCCGCUAACUGCGUGCCAGAAGCGUCGGUAAUACGUGGGCUUCAAGCAUUAUCCGGUCUUAUUGGGCAUAAAGGGUCGUGUAGGUGGUUAUAUAAGUUAUCUUUUAAAUUCCAACGCUUAACGUUGGGCAUGGAGAUAAGACUAUAUGGCUAGAAUUUCCUUAAGGGAGAAUGGAACUGAGAGAGGAGUAGUGAAAUGCGUUGAUACUCUCGGGAACACCAGUGGCGAAGGCGAUUCUCUGGAAGGAAAUUGACACUGAGACACGAAAGCUAGGGGAGCGAAGCAGAUUAGAGACCUGCGUAGUCCUAGCCCUAAACGAAUGUCUGCUAGCUGCAUUUUUUAGAUUUAUCUAUUAAGUGUGGCGAAAGGUAAUCCGUUAAGCAGACCGCCUGGGGAGUACGGCCGCAAGGCUAAAACUCAAAGGAAUUGACGG